This 465-nucleotide ribosomal RNA is filed under the name uncultured bacterium. RNAcentral describes it as "partial 16S ribosomal RNA". It matches the Rfam family "Bacterial small subunit ribosomal RNA", at positions 338 to 795 of the family's 1533-position model. The record is from RNAcentral.
CCUACGGGAGGCUGCAGUGGGGAAUAUUGCGCAAUGGGCGAAAGCCUGACGCAGCGACGCCGCGUGAGGGAUGAAGGUCUUCGGAUCGUAAACCUCUGUCAGCAGGGAAGAACGGUCACUGUGCUAAUCAGCAGUGAAUUGACGGUACCUGCAAAGGAAGCACCGGCUAACUCCGUGCCAGCAGCCGCGGUAAUACGGGGGGUGCGAGCGUUAAGCGGAAUUACUGGGCGUAAAGCGAUCGUAGGCGGGAAGUCAAGCCAAGGGUGAAAUCCCCGCGCUUAACGUGGGAACUGCCUUUGAAACUGGCGAGCUGGAGUGUGUGAGAGGUUAGUGGAAUUCCAGGUGUAGGAGUGAAAGCCGUAGAUAUCUGGAGGAACAUCAGUGGCGAAGGCGACUAACUGGCACAUAACUGACGCUGAGGAGCGAAAGCGUGGGUAGCAAACAGGAUUAGAUACCCUGGUAGUC